Molecule: long non-coding RNA, 1525 nt
Filed under: Struthio camelus australis
Lineage: Eukaryota; Metazoa; Chordata; Aves; Struthioniformes; Struthionidae
Description: lncRNA (ENSSCUG00000002701.1)
Source: RNAcentral
AUACUCUUGGAGAAAUACGAGAACUGCUGCAUGUCUGAAAGAGUAAUCAAGUCAAGAUCAGAAAUAAAUGAAGGACAGUUCUCCUCCUCCUCCUAAGGAACUCAGGGAUCAGAAAGAAGGGAUUAAAAUACUCUCACUGCUCCCUUUCACGCGGACAGAAGUAUGGAAACAUCACCGCGAACGACGGCGAGCCCAGCACAGGCCCUUAAGCUGCUGCUUUGUGGUCGGCCACUGACUUCUUUGCUCAUUUCUUCAGCACUCGCUCAGGCUACUGAAUCACUGAGGAUGCUGAACGCUCAAGUCUUCGAGAACAGUCUGAAAAUAGCAGCUGAAUAUAUUGGAAGACAACAACUUGCUAUAUAUCAGUAAAGCAUUUUUCACUUGGAGUCUAAAGCUGAUUUCUUUCAAGGGCUGAUUUCAAAUAGCAACGUUCCCCCCAAAGACUUCAAGAAAUGCCUUUUUAAAAAGUCCAUUUUUAAAGUGCAGUAUGAGAAUUUACAGUUCUGAAAUAGUAGAAAGUAGUCAGGGAAAUACUAAGAUAUGAGUCAUGACUCUUAUUGAUUGUGAAGUCUAGAAAUCUGGUAAGCAAGAUCAUACAGAGCAAUUGACCACAAUAGCUGUUUGCAAGGCUUCAGAAAUCACAGCAUAUCUUUAACCAUUUUUACCAGCUUACUGAAGGAGCAAAUGUACUUUCAAGAUCAAUUUCCAUCACUGGACCAAAGAAUAGGAAUAUCUGUAUCAGCCCAACAAACACGGCACCUCUGUGCUCCGAUAAAAACAAAGAUCCUUUUUGGAAAAUAGGAAGUCAAGGUGUAUAAGAAGUAGCUACACCCACCAUAAGUGAUAUUACCCAUACGUCUUCAUGGAGAAGUUUAGCCUGAUUAGUAUCUCCCUAUAGAUGGAUCCCAAUCCUGGCAAUGCCUGUGAGCUGGGGCUGGGAAAAGGAAGAAACAGAGCCUUUCACCUGACUGUCUCUGAUGUUGCACGUGAUCCACAUCUAUCUGUCCUAGAUUCAAUGCUGCACUCGGGGAGCAAGAGGUUUUGCAGCCCUUCUAACAAGCUCUUCAACACCUGCUCCAAGGCUCUUUGGUCUUCCCUCACGUCUUGCCGGAUGGUCAGCAGCAAAGCAUCUCCUUCUGAAUGCACGCAAGGAAGAAAGAGGGGAAUUUACUUUCUUCAGCCACCUAUUAUUGCAUUGGACAAUCACUGAAGUAUUUUACGUUUACAAAAAUAUAAAAUGAAGUUGCAUGUAAAUCGUAUAUUUAAACAUCUGCUGUCAUUUGGAAAAUAACGUUACUAUAAAUAUUCCUCCCCUGACCAGGCAAAUGACAUCAAAGCGCUCCCAGAUUUGAGGGGAAAGUCCUGGACUGGAACUGUGCGAGUAAUUAAUGGUGUUGGUUUGCUGCUUGAAGUGAAUUUUCGCAGGUGUUUUGGUGAACUUUCCCACCUCUCCAAUUGCGCAUUCUCUUACAGAAAAAAAUCCCAAAUGAAUAAAGACAUCUGGGAGGGAGGGAGAGAGAAUAUG